Molecule: transfer RNA, 64 nt
Filed under: Henosepilachna pusillanima
Lineage: Eukaryota; Metazoa; Arthropoda; Insecta; Coleoptera; Coccinellidae
Description: tRNA-Ser
Source: RNAcentral
AACUAAUGAACUUGUAAAAGUAUAUAUUUUGAAAAUAUAAAAAAGAAUAAUUUUCUAUUAGUUU